Non-coding RNA from Echinostoma caproni, 46 nucleotides. Lineage: Eukaryota; Metazoa; Platyhelminthes; Trematoda; Plagiorchiida; Echinostomatidae. The record is from Rfam.
GCACUGCUGACGAGUUCCAAACAGGACGAAAUAGUUGUCCCGGUGC